Molecule: ribosomal RNA, 495 nt
Filed under: uncultured bacterium
Lineage: Bacteria
Description: bacterial SSU rRNA
Rfam family: Bacterial small subunit ribosomal RNA
Source: RNAcentral
AACGAACGCUGGCGGCAGGCCUCAAACAUGCAAGUCUAGGGGGCGUAGCAAUACGUCACCGGCGGACGGGUGCGUAACACGUGGGAAUGUACCUAUUGGUUCGGAACAACGCAGGGAAACUUGCGCUAAUGCCGGAUGAGCCCGAAAGGGGAAAGAUUUAUCGCCAGUAGAUCAGCCCGCGUAGGAUUAGCUAGUUGGUAGGGUAACGGCCUACCAAGGCAACGAUCCUUAGCUGUUCUGAGAGGAAGAUCAGCCACACUGGGACUGAGACACGGCCCAGACUCCUACGGGAGGCAGCAGUUGGGAGUCUUGGACAAUGGACGAAAGUCUGAUCCAGCCAUGCCGCGUGAGUGAUGAAGGCCUUAGGGUUGUAAAGCUCUUUUACCCGGGAAGAUAAUGACUGUACCGGGAGAAUAAGCUCCGGCUAACUUCGUGCCAGCAGCCGCGGUAAUACGAAGGGGGCUAGCGUUGUUCGGAAUUACUGGGCGUAAAGCG